GUCUAAAAAGUUUUGUGAAUGGAGAAUUGUAAAUUCUUAGGGAAAUUUGGAUA
RNAcentral lists this transfer RNA (53 nucleotides) under Unionicola foili. Its description in RNAcentral is "tRNA-Tyr". Lineage: Eukaryota; Metazoa; Arthropoda; Arachnida; Trombidiformes; Unionicolidae. The record is from RNAcentral.